GUCCACGCCCUAAACUAUGGCGACUAGUUGUUGGGGAUUUAACAUCCUUAGUAACGAAGCUAACGCGUGAAGUCGCCCGCCUGGGGAGUACGGUCGCAAGAUUAAAACUCAAAGGAAUUGACGGGGCCCGCACAAGCGGUGGAUGAUGUGGUUUAAUUCGAUGCAACGCGAAAACCUUACCUACCCUUGACAUGUCCGGAAUCCCGCAGAGAUGCGGGAGUGCCCGAAAGGGAGCCGGAACACAGGUGCUGCAUGGCUGUCGU
This 263-nucleotide ribosomal RNA is filed under the name uncultured bacterium. RNAcentral describes it as "partial 16S ribosomal RNA". It matches the Rfam family "Bacterial small subunit ribosomal RNA", at positions 793 to 1055 of the family's 1533-position model. The record is from RNAcentral.